Molecule: ribosomal RNA, 447 nt
Filed under: uncultured bacterium
Lineage: Bacteria
Description: partial 16S ribosomal RNA
Rfam family: Bacterial small subunit ribosomal RNA
Source: RNAcentral
AACGAACGCUGGCGGCAGGCUUAACACAUGCAAGUCGAACGCUCCGCAAGGAGAGUGGCAGACGGGUGAGUAACGCGUGGGAACGUACCUUUCAGUUCGGAAUAACUCAGGGAAACUUGUGCUAAUACCGGAUACGCUCGUAAGAGGAAAGAUUUAUCGCUGAAAGAUCGGCCCGCGUUGGAUUAGCUAGUUGGUGGGGUAAUGGCCUACCAAGGCGACGAUCCAUAGCUGGUCUGAGAGGAUGAUCAGCCACACUGGGACUGAGACACGGCCCAGACCCCUACGGGAGGCAGCAGUGGGGAAUAUUGGACAAUGGGCGAAAGCCUGAUCCAGCCAUGCCGCGUGAGUGAUGAAGGCCCUAGGAUUGUAAAGCUCUUUCACCGAUGAGGAUAAUGACGGUAGUCGGAGAAGAAGCCCCGGCUAACUUCGUGCCAGCCGCCGCCGUAA